Molecule: ribosomal RNA, 253 nt
Filed under: uncultured bacterium
Lineage: Bacteria
Description: partial 16S ribosomal RNA
Rfam family: Bacterial small subunit ribosomal RNA
Source: RNAcentral
UACGUAGGGUGCAAGCGUUGUCCGGAAUUAUUGGGCGUAAAGAGCUCGUAGGCGGUUUGUCGCGUCUGCUGUGAAAACUCGGGGCUUAACCCCGGGCCUGCAGUGGGUACGGGCAGACUAGAGUGCGGUAGGGGAGACUGGAAUUCUCGGUGUAGCGGUGAAAUGCGUAGAUAUCGAGAGGAACACCUGCGGCGAAGGCGGGUUGCUGGGCUGACACUGACGCUGAACUGCGAAAGCUAGGGGAGCGAACGGG